This 2923-nucleotide ribosomal RNA is filed under the name Klebsiella pneumoniae. RNAcentral describes it as "23S ribosomal RNA". It matches the Rfam family "Bacterial large subunit ribosomal RNA". The record is from RNAcentral. Lineage: Bacteria; Pseudomonadati; Pseudomonadota; Gammaproteobacteria; Enterobacterales; Enterobacteriaceae.
GGGUUGUGAGGUUAAGCGACUAAGCGUACACGGUGGAUGCCCUGGCAGUCAGAGGCGAUGAAGGACGUGCUAAUCUGCGAAAAGCGUCGGUAAGGUGAUAUGAACCGUUAUAGCCGGCGAUGUCCGAAUGGGGAAACCCAGUGUGAUUCGUCACACUAUCGUUAACUGAAUACAUAGGUUAACGAGGCGAACCGGGGGAACUGAAACAUCUAAGUACCCCGAGGAAAAGAAAUCAACCGAGAUUCCCCCAGUAGCGGCGAGCGAACGGGGAGCAGCCCAGAGUCUGAAUCAGCUUGUGUGUUAGUGGAACGGUCUGGAAAGUCCGACGGUACAGGGUGAUAGUCCCGUACACCAAAAUGCACAGGCUGUGAACUCGAAGAGUAGGGCGGGACACGUGGUAUCCUGUCUGAAUAUGGGGGGACCAUCCUCCAAGGCUAAAUACUCCUGACUGACCGAUAGUGAACCAGUACCGUGAGGGAAAGGCGAAAAGAACCCCGGCGAGGGGAGUGAAAAAGAACCUGAAACCGUGUACGUACAAGCAGUGGGAGCACCUUCGGGUGUGACUGCGUACCUUUUGUAUAAUGGGUCAGCGACUUAUAUUCUGUAGCAAGGUUAACCGUAUAGGGGAGCCGCAGGGAAACCGAGUCUUAACUGGGCGUUAAGUUGCAGGGUAUAGACCCGAAACCCGGUGAUCUAGCCAUGGGCAGGUUGAAGGUUGGGUAACACUAACUGGAGGACCGAACCGACUAAUGUUGAAAAAUUAGCGGAUGACUUGUGGCUGGGGGUGAAAGGCCAAUCAAACCGGGAGAUAGCUGGUUCUCCCCGAAAGCUAUUUAGGUAGCGCCUCGUGAACUCAUCUUCGGGGGUAGAGCACUGUUUCGGCUAGGGGGUCAUCCCGACUUACCAACCCGAUGCAAACUACGAAUACCGAAGAAUGUUAUCACGGGAGACACACGGCGGGUGCUAACGUCCGUCGUGAAGAGGGAAACAACCCAGACCGCCAGCUAAGGUCCCAAAGUCAUGGUUAAGUGGGAAACGAUGUGGGAAGGCACAGACAGCCAGGAUGUUGGCUUAGAAGCAGCCAUCAUUUAAAGAAAGCGUAAUAGCUCACUGGUCGAGUCGGCCUGCGCGGAAGAUGUAACGGGGCUAAACCAUGCACCGAAGCUGCGGCAGCGACACUAUGUGUUGUUGGGUAGGGGAGCGUUCUGUAAGCCUGCGAAGGUGUGCUGUGAGGCAUGCUGGAGGUAUCAGAAGUGCGAAUGCUGACAUAAGUAACGAUAAAGCGGGUGAAAAGCCCGCUCGCCGGAAGACCAAGGGUUCCUGUCCAACGUUAAUCGGGGCAGGGUGAGUCGACCCCUAAGGCGAGGCCGAAAGGCGUAGUCGAUGGGAAACAGGUUAAUAUUCCUGUACUUGGUGUUACUGCGAAGGGGGGACGGAGAAGGCUAUGUUAGCCGGGCGACGGUUGUCCCGGUUUAAGCAUGUAGGCUGGUUGUCCAGGCAAAUCCGGAUAAUCAAGGCUGAGGUGUGAUGACGAGGCACUACGGUGCUGAAGUAACAAAUGCCCUGCUUCCAGGAAAAGCCUCUAAGCAUCAGGUAACAUCAAAUCGUACCCCAAACCGACACAGGUGGUCAGGUAGAGAAUACCAAGGCGCUUGAGAGAACUCGGGUGAAGGAACUAGGCAAAAUGGUGCCGUAACUUCGGGAGAAGGCACGCUGGUGUGUAGGUGAAGUCCCUGCGGAUGGAGCUGAGACCAGUCGAAGAUACCAGCUGGCUGCAACUGUUUAUUAAAAACACAGCACUGUGCAAACACGAAAGUGGACGUAUACGGUGUGACGCCUGCCCGGUGCCGGAAGGUUAAUUGAUGGGGUUAUCCGUAAGGAGAAGCUCUUGAUCGAAGCCCCGGUAAACGGCGGCCGUAACUAUAACGGUCCUAAGGUAGCGAAAUUCCUUGUCGGGUAAGUUCCGACCUGCACGAAUGGCGUAAUGAUGGCCAGGCUGUCUCCACCCGAGACUCAGUGAAAUUGAACUCGCUGUGAAGAUGCAGUGUACCCGCGGCAAGACGGAAAGACCCCGUGAACCUUUACUAUAGCUUGACACUGAACAUUGAGCCUUGAUGUGUAGGAUAGGUGGGAGGCUUUGAAGCGUGGACGCCAGUCUGCGUGGAGCCAACCUUGAAAUACCACCCUUUAAUGUUUGAUGUUCUAACGUUGGCCCCUGACCGGGGUUGCGGACAGUGUCUGGUGGGUAGUUUGACUGGGGCGGUCUCCUCCCAAAGCGUAACGGAGGAGCACGAAGGUUAGCUAAUCCUGGUCGGACAUCAGGAGGUUAGUGCAAUGGCAUAAGCUAGCUUGACUGCGAGCGUGACGGCGCGAGCAGGUGCGAAAGCAGGUCAUAGUGAUCCGGUGGUUCUGAAUGGAAGGGCCAUCGCUCAACGGAUAAAAGGUACUCCGGGGAUAACAGGCUGAUACCGCCCAAGAGUUCAUAUCGACGGCGGUGUUUGGCACCUCGAUGUCGGCUCAUCACAUCCUGGGGCUGAAGUAGGUCCCAAGGGUAUGGCUGUUCGCCAUUUAAAGUGGUACGCGAGCUGGGUUUAGAACGUCGUGAGACAGUUCGGUCCCUAUCUGCCGUGGGCGCUGGAGAAUUGAGGGGGGCUGCUCCUAGUACGAGAGGACCGGAGUGGACGCAUCACUGGUGUUCGGGUUGUCAUGCCAAUGGCACUGCCCGGUAGCUAAAUGCGGAAGAGAUAAGUGCUGAAAGCAUCUAAGCACGAAACUUGCCCCGAGAUGAGUUCUCCCUGAGACUUUAAGUCUCCUGAAGGAACGUUGAAGACGACGACGUUGAUAGGCCGGGUGUGUAAGCGCAGCGAUGCGUUGAGCUAACCGGUACUAAUGAACCGUGAGGCUUAACCUUACAACGCCGAAG